RNAcentral lists this unclassified non-coding RNA (1642 nucleotides) under Hevea brasiliensis (rubber tree). The record is from RNAcentral. Lineage: Eukaryota; Viridiplantae; Streptophyta; Magnoliopsida; Malpighiales; Euphorbiaceae.
AUUUAUUCAGCAAGCAGACGAUAAUCAAGAAAUGUCAAAGCCCUUGUACUGAAUGGGUGCUAAAUUUGCACCAAGAACAUAUCUGAGAGUUUCCUUUCACAGUUAUUAGACUCAAGGUAAAAUGGAGCACUGCUAUGUUUUCCUCAUAGAAAAUCAGCAAUAUUAAUCAAUUAACUAAUCUUUCUAGAAAAUUUUCAGGGAAGAUGCAAAACUUUAUGCAGCAUUAAUAUAUCAUUUUACUAUUGAUUCAUUCACUAAGAAAAAAUAAAAAUAGGGGGCAAAACUUCUGCCAGCUCCUUCAAACAUGCUAACAAAGUAUGUAUCUAGUUACCAUGUUGCCCUUUGUUGAUGCAUCAUAUCUUUCAUUCUCUCUCCAUUUCAUAAUUCAUUGCUUACAAAUUGUCAUGAGCAGAACAAAAAAUCAUGGACUUUGAACACAAUACUAAAUUAGAAAUAAGCUAUCACAACAGGAUAUAAAACAACAUGCAAAUGUGCAAUAACCUAUCAUGCUAGACACAAGCACUGAAAACUUGAAACUCAAAUGAGAUCAACCACAACCAGUAAGAGUUUCUCAAAGAUAUUUUUAAUGUAAAUUGUCUUGUGCAAAACUUUGAAGGGUAACUGACCUUCACUGCAAGAUAUACACAACUUUGAAUUUGUGGAAAUGAAGAAGAGACGACCAAUCUUCUGCCCAAGAAUUUGGAGUGAGGAUCCAGCUAUCAUACUUCUAGUUUAAAAAAAAAAAAAAAUUGAAAAAUUGCUCCAUUAAAGAUAUAAAGCAAACAAAAUUUCCGGCGAGGCUCAAUCAUCUCUCUCAACACCUUUUCUAACCACUAAUAUCCGACCACGAAAAUCCUGCAAGAGAGACUCAAAUGAAUUGCAUGCUCAAAAAGGGGGAAAAGUAGAGAAACGAAGUUCAAAUGAGAUGAUUAAUGGACUCAACUCUUCCAUUCAAAGAAAGUGCAGCAUCACGCUCUGCAGCAGACGAAAAUGACAAAAAGGCAUAGGCACGGUUCUUUCCAGCUUUACGAUCAGACAACACUCUUGCACUAACUACAAUCCCAAACUGGCUAAAUUGAUUCCUCAACUCUUCAGGUGUUACAUUCCAGGCAAUAUUGCCAAUGUAUAGCUUAUAUGGACUUUCAUAAAAGAGAUUUUUUAUUGGUGCUGAAUUCAAUGCCUCAGGGUUUCUCUUACUAGAACUCAUAUCAACUGAAAAUUUAACCCGCAUUUCUCGGCCACCAACAUCAGAUCCAUCAAGUGCAGCAAUUGCAUUUUUUGCAGAAUUUAUAGAACCCAUUGUGAUGUAACCACACCCUCGACUGAGACCAGUUUCAGGGUUCCGGGAGACCUCAACAGAAAUAACAGUUCCAAAGGGCUUGAACAUCUCUACAAGCUCUGAAAUGUCACAGCUCCUCGGAAGAUUACACACGUAAAGUUCACAUGGUCUUGGCUGCCUAUUCAAUUCAGUGCCCAAAAGGUCGUCGUCGCUCUCUUUCUUGCCAAUAUCUUCCGCAACCACUGAUUCCUCGUCAACAACUGCUAAUAAAGAGAAAACGCUCCUAACUUUUUUUGGUGGCCAGUGAGGAACAGCAGCAGAAGAAGAAGAAGAAGAAGACGAAGAAGAAGAAGAAGAAGAAGA